Molecule: ribosomal RNA, 249 nt
Filed under: uncultured Lactobacillus sp.
Lineage: Bacteria; Bacillati; Bacillota; Bacilli; Lactobacillales; Lactobacillaceae
Description: partial 16S ribosomal RNA
Rfam family: Bacterial small subunit ribosomal RNA
Source: RNAcentral
CAACGUGGGGAACCUGCCCCAUAGUCUGGGAUACCACUUGGAAACAGGUGCUAAUACCGGAUAAGAAAGCGGAUCGCAUGAUCAGCUUUUAAAAGGCGGCGUAAGCUGUCGCUAUGGGAUGGCCCCGCGGUGCAUUAGCUAGUUGGUAGGGUAAAGGCUUACCAAGGCGAUGAUGCAUAGCCGAGUUGAGAGACUGAUCGGCCACAUUGGGACUGAGACACGGCCAAACUCCUACGGGAGGCAGCAGAG